Molecule: long non-coding RNA, 281 nt
Organism: Sinocyclocheilus grahami
Lineage: Eukaryota; Metazoa; Chordata; Actinopteri; Cypriniformes; Cyprinidae
Exons: 3
Source: RefSeq, a predicted model, not a curated record
CGGACCUCUGUUUCCUAGCAACAAGGCCAGAUGUCCUGGAUCACUGUGGGAGGCCAGCGCGAAUCUAAGGGGAUGUUUUGGCUCGAUGUUAAUGUUACAUAAGGGCUCUUUAUGUCAAAGAACUUAAGGUGCCCUCUCAGAAUGGUUGUUUUCUGAGGAACUUACAAGAUGGAAGUUUCUCCAAUACUGUCAACAUUCCAGCAACCCUAAGGGAAACUAUUUGAGAAUCCUCCUGACCAGACCUUUGCCCCCCAGGUAUUUGUGUUAUUCAGCCAGAACCG